CAGAGAAAGUAUGUUCAAAUAAAAAGGCUAAUGAAAAUGUAAAAGUAAAUUCAUGACUUAAAGAAACACAAUUAUUUUUUCAAAAAACGUGCCAUGCACUAUAACAUGUACCACCAUAGGUCGCAGCAUGUGGUACAGUGCCACGAGCUCCCUUCUCUAUGCCAUGCAUUGCGGCAUAACACACAUAAUGCACUGUAGUGCAUAUGACAACAAUUUUGCUGUCAAAUCACAAUUCACAAGAGUGAACUUUUACUGCGCGCCAAUUCUACAUCUAAUGUCCAAUUGGAAUGAUUCAAGCGUGUAACAUCCUAACUUCAUAAUCCUAUAAUUAGCUAUUAAUUAGGGGUAAAUCAAUAAUUAGUAAAUGAUUAGAGGUUUGGAUGAUUGCUUAAUGAGUUGACUUAUUGGGAAGUUAAAUGGAUAGAUAUAGGUGGAAGAACUGGUCUUAAAGCAAAGCAUGUGUUGGGGUGAGGAUUCUCCUCACCGUAUCAUGCAUUAUGGCAUGUGAUCUAGAAAAUAAACUCUUAAGUUGUGAUUUGGAUCGAUAUUCAGAGAGGAAAAAGGGAGUAAACAUAAGAAGGAGAAGAGAAGAGAUCAAAGUCUACUAGGGCAAGAUAAAUUAGGAGCUUGGAAGGAACUUUCGAUCAGUAACUUAUCAUGACAAAGCAGUAAGUCGGACAAGACAAAAGAGUCUGGACUGGCAUAAUGGUGCUGUGGCUAUGGAAACUCAUGAGUUGGUGUAAUGAAUUACCUUAAUAUGAUGUAGUAUAUAUAAGUUGCCAUAAGACAUGCAUGCAUGCUUUGAAUUGUAAAUUGUGGGAAAGUUGUGAUUUUAUGUAUCUUAGCCUAUAUAUGUAAGAAUGUGGUGAAAUAAUUAACAAGGGCUAAAAUUUAGUUAUAUAUAUACGUUGUGAAUAUGUAAAGUGGUGAUUUGUGGUAACAUUGUGGUAAAAAUGGCCAAAGAAAAGUUUUUG
Prosopis cineraria is the source of this 974-nucleotide long non-coding RNA. RefSeq lists it as uncharacterized. NCBI's taxonomy places the organism in Eukaryota, Viridiplantae, Streptophyta, Magnoliopsida, Fabales, Fabaceae. The transcript has 2 exons. The record is from RefSeq and is a predicted model, not a curated record.